GAGUGCUGGGAUUACAGGCGUCAGCCACCGUGACCGGCUCAGACUGUACUCUUAUAGCCAUCUGAAAUACGUUUUCUAGGUAGAGAUAGAUUGUGUAAGGGUACAGUUGUGAGGAUAACAGAAACAUGGCAGAUUAUUUAAAAUCAUCCUGAAAGUGGUGCUUUAUCUGAUGAAAGUGAUUGUAAUCCAUAGGAAAAUGUUUCAACGUGCGCAAGAGUUGCGGCGGCGGGCAGAGGACUACCACAAAUGCAAAAUCCCCCCUUCUGCAAGAAAGGCUCUUUGCAACUGGGUAAGUUUGCUUGUUUUCCUUGCUUUUGGACAUAGUCUGCCAGGUCAGGACAUGGAUACAUUUUUCUCCCUACAGCUCUGUGCUCAAGCCCUGCAGAGGGAGAUGGCAGAGAGAAAGGCUGCCUACAAGCAUCACAGUCCCAUCCCUGUUGGUAACCGUGUUGCGCAAAAACACCUUCAUCCCCACCCAGUGGGGCCCCUGAUCUAAUAUUCUAAGUGUCAGAGGUUCCGUAUUUGUAAUAGCAGAUGGGCCCUGACUG
Molecule: long non-coding RNA, 548 nt
Filed under: Homo sapiens (human)
Lineage: Eukaryota; Metazoa; Chordata; Mammalia; Primates; Hominidae
Description: non-protein coding lnc-GSPT1-1:1
Source: RNAcentral